AACCUUUACACUGCACGACAGUGCGAUAGGGGGACUCCGAGUGCGAGGGCAUAUAGUCCUCGCUUUUCUGUACCGUAAGGUGGUACAGGAACAAGUGCUGGGCAAGACCGGUGCCAGCCGCCGCGGUAAUACCGGCAGCACGAGUGAUGGCCGAUCUUAUUGGGCCUAAAGCGUCCGUAGCUGGCCGUGCAAGUCCGUCGGGAAAUCCACCCGCUCAACGGGUGGGCGUCCGGCGGAAACUGCAGGGCUUGGGACCGGGAGGCUUGAAGGGUACGUCCGGGGUAGGAGUGAAAUCCUGUAAUCCUGGACGGACCGCCGAUGGGGAAACCACUUCAAGAGAACGGAUCCGACAGUGAGGGACGAAAGCUAGGGUCUCGAACCGGAUUAGAUACCCGGGUAGUCCUAGCUGUAAACGAUGCCUGUUAGGUGUGACUCCCACUACGAGUGGGUGUUGUGCCGUAGGGAAGCCGCUAAACAGGCCGCCUGGGAAGUACGUCUGCAAGGAUGAAACUUAA
This 515-nucleotide ribosomal RNA is filed under the name uncultured archaeon. Its description in RNAcentral is "bacterial SSU rRNA". It matches the Rfam family "Archaeal small subunit ribosomal RNA", at positions 345 to 859 of the family's 1478-position model. The record is from RNAcentral.